Long non-coding RNA from Papaver somniferum (opium poppy), 1312 nucleotides. RefSeq lists it as uncharacterized. The transcript has 7 exons. The record is from RefSeq and is a predicted model, not a curated record. NCBI's taxonomy places the organism in Eukaryota, Viridiplantae, Streptophyta, Magnoliopsida, Ranunculales, Papaveraceae.
GAAGAAAAAAAUGCUUAUCGUCAGCAGUUACAAAAUAAAAUCAAAAGACAUAAAGCGAAAAAUGAAUCUGAAUUAUAGGAUUUUAAUUAAUCAACCGAUGAUCUUAGUUUCAAACUUUUGCAUAUGAUUGGUUCUAAGUUAGGAAAUGAAUUUCACUCAUCAAUGUUUUUAGGCAUUUCUCUUUUCAACGAAAUAAAUCUCGCAAAUUCGACGUUGAAACUAAUGUAACUCGUUAUCUCAGAAAUUUCCAGUUUUGAUUCAUUGUUCGGCCUCGCUGGAUUCAUGGUGCAUGUCACACACAUAUUCCAGUCAUUUAUGCAGGAUUUUGUUUAAGAUUUUCCCUUUCAUACUCUAUUUCGCUAUAUAGGGUGUUUGUGUUGGUGCUCUAAUAGGUUAUUAAGAACUUUAUCUUUUUCAACUCUAAUAGCUGUUUUUUAAGUUGAUUUUGAAGGUAUUUUCGGAUUAUGAAAAUUUCCCACUGUCUUGUGUUGAUUCCGAUUUUGAUAAACUCAGGCUCUCAUAACAUACAUUGAAACUCUCCAAAUUUAAGACAAUUUACAUAUCAGUAUUGAAGAAUCCACGGAUAAAACAUAUAACUCCUAUAGGACUACAUAAUCAUGUACCAAAAUAACUACAUUUGAAGGUUAGCAAGUGGUGGUGCAUGAACUUGGAGUAUCGUCAAUGGAUGAAUAUUUUAUUAAACUUUCGUUUAGAAGAUUUGCGAACAUCCAUUAAAAUCUACCAGGAUUUCUAAGUGAUGCAGUAAUUUCUAAUGUCAUCUCAACUUUCGAAUAAUAAGGUCCCCAGUUGUUGGUGUAGUGUUGUUCCGGAUAACACGAGGGACUAUGGAUGUUAACAUUCAAUUAUGUCCAACGUAGAUGAAUGAAUUUUCUUGGAAAUCAAGAGAAAAUAUUAUUGCAGCCACCGAAAAAUGUUGUCUUACGGUGGCUGGGAACGUUUGGCUUGCAACAGAUGCAGUAAGAAAGUUUUUGGUGAUGAAGAUGACCACUGUAUACAAAGUGCGAAACCAAAAUUAAGUAACCCAAAGUCAGAGUUUGGAACUAUUGACUGACAGUGGGUGGAAUAUUUUCGUACAGUUUUUUUUUGGUGUUCGUUCUCCAACCUGAUCAGCUAAAAAUAUUACAUUAGUGUAAAUUUUAGCAGUGGGCUUCAUAAUCUAUGUUAUUUCACUUCUUUGGCUAGCAUAUGGGCUUGGGUUCCAUUUCAUCGUAAGGUGAACUUGGAAUAUAUAUGUAGCUAAAGAAAUUCCAUGUUUCACGAUUUAUGAUCUCAAGGCAGUCAAAUAGUUAAA